This 1046-nucleotide long non-coding RNA is filed under the name Homo sapiens (human). Its description in RNAcentral is "long intergenic non-protein coding RNA 1500". Lineage: Eukaryota; Metazoa; Chordata; Mammalia; Primates; Hominidae. The record is from RNAcentral.
AAUGGGCUUAGAAUCAUAGCGCUGCCGCAGGUCUCGGGGCUGGUAGUAGCGCUGCCUGCAAACCAGCACCAAGGCUGCAAACGAAGCCAGAAAGAUGGUGGCCAGCACACCUAUGGCAACUAUCACCACGGUCUCCAUGCUUCCGGGGAGCUCCUGACUCAGUCCCGUUCACAUCGUCCUCAUGGGCUAAGGCUGCUGGAAGUGGCAAACUGGGGGAAGAGGAUGGCAGGAGCUAGGUUCCUCCACGACACCUCCAGAGACCUGAGGGCCUCAAGCUGCAGCUCCGGGGCACAUCCCGCUGCGCUCCCACGACGGCCCCGCGGAUGGCAAAGUCAGCGGCAUCGCCUAUGCAGGCAAUCAAAGGAUGUUGAUGGAUAAGUGUUUCAGGCAGAAUAAUGGCCCUCAAAGAUGUUGACACCAGAAUCUUCAGAACCUUUGCAUAUGUUACCUAACAUGACAAAAGGGACUUUGCUGAUGUGAUUAAGGUUAAGAACUUUGAGAAGGGAAGAUUAUCCUGGAUUAUACAGGUCGACGUUUAUUUCUUUCUGAACUUUCCUGGAGGAUCAUCGGCCAUACUCCAGCAGAAGGGUGGAUUUGAAAAAAUAACGAGAUACUCCCAAAGUCCCAUCCAGUUAUAUCAUCAGGUUGAAAUUCCAGGAUCUCUUGGUGAUGGGUAGUUAUCUCCAAGUGUGGCUCCUGGGGUCAGAUCACCUACAGUCUAAGAGAAGGUUCUUUUUCUCCGCCAAUGGUGAUAGAUUUGGCACCAAAAAAAGAAGAGAAGAAACAUGACAGUCAUUGUUUCCACAGUGAUUUUAGGUUGUUUUAUUAAAGUUCAUUGCUGAGAACACAAAGGCUGAUGCCACAGAGGGGAAAACGCCAGAUCCACCACCGAACAGCUAAAGCCAUAUGCGCCUGCUCCAUGAAUGCCCAUUUUUCAUCUUUAGUGGGCUUCAAAGUUAAAUAGCACAGACAACACAAAGGAAAAUAUGACCGCAGCAAAAGACAGAAACUACACUGUGGCUACAAUUAAAUCUUCAUACCAAUCA